RNAcentral lists this ribosomal RNA (1709 nucleotides) under Spirembolus erratus. RNAcentral describes it as "eukaryotic LSU rRNA". The stretch from base 345 to 1709 matches the Rfam family "Eukaryotic large subunit ribosomal RNA", at positions 1 to 1794 of the family's 3401-position model. Lineage: Eukaryota; Metazoa; Arthropoda; Arachnida; Araneae; Linyphiidae. The record is from RNAcentral.
AAACGGGUGGGCCCUCGAAAUCCUGUGGUGGGAGCAUUCAGUCGGGGUGUCGCGUCGCAGGCUGGGCAUGCUUUAUGGUUCCCGUGACGGGGCCGGCUCGGCUAGCGUUGCGCGGCAAGCUGACGCAUUUGUUUCCCAUCCGAAGGACGCCGCAACCGGUUGGUGGACGGUCUUAAGAGCGAGAGCGGAAGGUGGCCGGCGGCGCGCCUCGUGUGUGUCGCCGGUUGUUAGCCAUCUCGCAGGACGGCCCGUUCGCCGACCGUGGCAAUAAAGAGGCCCGGCUGGGCUUCGUCGUCUCCUCCUUGAGUGGCGAGUGCACAAGCGUCGCAGGAGUUCGUGAGCAGUGUGAUCGCACGAAGCGAGUUCGUGGCCACACGCUGCCUCGUCUCUGUUGGCUGAUGCAUGACUCGCGGGAGUGAUUGACGGUUUGCGGCGAGUAGAUCGGUCACCCACCCGACCCGUCUUGAAACACGGACCAAGGAGUCUAACAUGUGCGCGAGUCAAUGGGUCUUGAAUAAGCCCGGCGGCGCAAUGAAAGUAUAGGCCGGCGGAGGUCGGCCGCAUUCGGGAUCCCCGCUCCCUCGCGGGCGGGGCGCACCGAAGACCCGCCGCGUUCCACUCGUGGAAGUGGCGGUGUUUGAGCGCACACGUUGGGACCCGAAAGAUGGUGAACUAUGCCCGGACAGGACGAGGCCAGAGGAAACUCUGGUGGAGGUCCGUAGCGGUUCUGACGUGCAAAUCGAUCGUCAGAUCUGGGUCUAGCGGCGUAAGACUAAUCGAACCAUCUAGUAGCUGGUUCCCUCCGAAGUUUCCCUCAGGAUAGCUGGCGCUCGUUGAAUUCAGUCUCAUCCGGUAAAGCGAAUGAUUAGAGGCCUUGGGGUCGAAACGAUCUCAACCUAUUCUCAAACUUUAAAUGGGUGAGAAGUCCGCCUUGCAUGACUGAAGGCCGGACGUGACAGGAUGAGAGUGCCCAGUGGGCCACUUUUGGUAAGCAGAACUGGCGCUGUGGGAUGAACCAAACGCCCGGUUAAGGCGUCCGAUGCGAGACGCUCAUGAGACCCCAUGAAAGGUGUUGGUUGCUCUAGACAGUCGGACGAUGGCCAUGGAAGUCGGAAUUCGCUAAGGAGUGUGUAACAACUCACCGACCGAAGCAACUAGCCCUGAAAAUGGAUGACGCUCCAGCGUUGGGCCUAUACCGGGCCGUUACGGCAGAGCUUCCCCCGUGGAGGUUUUCGCCGUAGUGAGUAGGAGGGUCGCGGUGGCGUGCGUUGAAGGUGCCGGGCGUGAGCCCGCCUGGAGCCGCCACCGGUGCAGAUCUUGGUGGUAGUAGCAAAUACUCAAGUGAGAACCUUGAGGACUGAAGCUGGAGAAGGGUUCCAUGUGAACAGCAGUUGAACAUGGGUCAGUCGGUCCUAAGGGAUCGGAGAAAUCCGUUCCGAAGCGAGACGUUGCCCAUACGCAAACACCGCACGUGUUUGUCUCGCUGCCGACCGAAAGGGAAUGGGGUUAAUAUUCCCCAACCCGGACACGGAGAUAGGUCCUUCGGGACCAAGUGCGGGAACGCAACCGAACUCGGAGACGUCGACGGAGGACCCGGGGAAGAGUUAUCUUUUCUUUGUAAGAGUUCGUGUCCCUGGAAUCGGCUCGUCCGGAGAUAGGGACGCUGUUCUCGUUGAAGCACCGCGUCUCUUGCGGUGUCCCGUGCGCCU